GAAAUUCUCAGAGUAAAAUUACAUUUGAUGUCUGAAGCAGGCGGGUGUUAAUAAACACACAAAAAAUAACUAAUAAAAGCCAGGAGCAGCUGUCAAAUCUGCAGCAAUUCUUUGUUCAUUUUUUAAUUUGUUCUACCUCAUCAGGAGGAAAAAUGAAGAACAAGCUGUAUUUUACUGUGUGCUUCUGAAGGCAAAGAGUAACAGGGAAAUGAACUACAGGAUAAUGGAUGCGGGGAUGCAGAAUGACAGAUUGUUACCUAAGAGGAGUGAUCAGAGACGUUGGGAUAAAGAAUGAAGUUCUUGGGAAGUGAUGAAUUUAGCUAUUAUUGAACACCAGAACCAUAUAGCAACAUCUAAGCAAUCUUAUCUCACUGCAAGAAAGUCUCUGCAAUGGCAAAUUCCAGAACAACAGUGGCCUCUUUCAUCAAGAAUUCUGCCAAAGGACUUGUACAAAACCCACAUUCUGGCUCUCCACACUACGCAGAUGGCUUGGCUGGCUGGAAUGAAAGUGAAGAUGACAAGAUUUUGGUCUCUGGAGAGAGAAGAUCUCAUUGUAAGAUUGGAUGUUGCACCAUCUCCACCACUGUGGACAAGGUUUUACCAUAUUUGACCUGAGAAUACCUGAAAACAAACAUGAAGGAAUAAUCUAUGCCUUCAUCACCAACCUUCCACAGAGGACACCCAACAAACCAUAGAGGAAAGAAGAAAAAGUAAAGGACGCAUUCUUUAACUGUUUGCACAUAAUAUUCUUACAAACUAUUGCUCUGAUCCAUCUAUAGCACCAAAGAAAGGGCUUUGUUAUCUACUUCCAUUCAUAAAAGAAACAUCUCAGUUAACCUGAAUUUAUGAGCUACAGACAUCACAGCCUUUCAGAAGAGAAAGCAUUGAUGUCACAUGCAGUGAUGAUGUCACAGAAAAUAUCUCUGCCUUCUGAAAUUGAGGAGAUUGCAUCCAGCUUCUCUCCUGAGUGAUCUUCAGUGAAGAUAAGUUUAGGAACUGAUCUCCAAGUUGUUUUGGACAAGUUCAGAAGCUUACUGAGGCCUUAAAAUUAUAAUUUUGUUUCAUUUGGGUUGCUUUUGAACAAAAGUGUAAGGGUCACUGGAAGACAGGACACAACCUGCUGAGAUGCAACGAAGACAGUGUUCUACAGAUGAGUAUGUGCACAGAUAUAUAUUAAACAAACAGAUAUAUAUUAAAUAAACAAUCAAACAAACAGAAUAUCA
RNAcentral lists this long non-coding RNA (1223 nucleotides) under Zonotrichia albicollis (white-throated sparrow). RNAcentral's name for it is "lncRNA (ENSZALG00000015725.1)". Lineage: Eukaryota; Metazoa; Chordata; Aves; Passeriformes; Passerellidae. The record is from RNAcentral.